GUAUGAAGUUAGCAUUUAAUAAAUACUUUAGAAAUUAUUAUAACAAAGGCUUAAAUUAUUAGAUUAAAUAAUUUUAAUAUAGAAUGUUUGGCUGGAUUGUACAUAUCAGUUUUUUGAGCUUCUUAGUUGUCUCUGCUGGGGAAGGAGCCAAAUGUGAGGCCCACACUUCUCUCCUGGGCCCCACCACCACUUGGUUUCAGGUACCUAAGGUGUAGCACAAAUUAGCUUCUCUGUGGUACGGUUUGCUAAUGUAAUCUAAUCUAGCUCAGUGGAGAAAAUGACGUAUUCACAAAAAGUUCUGGAAGCGACUCUUAAACCCCAAUACAGCUCAGUUUAUAUAUAUAUAUAUGUAUAUAUACUCUCAUAAGAGUAAAUAUACUCUCAUAAAGUAUGAGAACUCAGGAUAUAGAACUCAGGAACAUAUUAGAGCAAAUCACUGAAAUCCACCAGAAACAAUGCUCACAUUCUCUCCAGAACAUUGAACACUCGCCCUGAUUAAAUUCCAGAGCUAGCAGAGAAAGCAAGGGGACUGGAAAUCAACUUGGCCUGCCCACUGACCCUGACUCAUGUGAUCACAUUUGUGCUGUGCCAACUCCCUCACUCACCGCUGUUGCUGCGUUUCCUUAGGUCAUACCCGCCUCCUGGCCCAUUGGCUUCCUCAGGAACCUCCACAAGAUCUGAAGUCUUGGAGGAAAGAAGAAAGAGCAUGGGAUGAACAAUGUUAUAUCUGUGGUCAAUUGAGCAGAUACUUUGGUGUAAGAGAGCUUAGGUAGAAUUUGCAUGACACAUAAGGACCCAGUGAUUGCUGUCUUGGCUGUUUGGCUAACUUCAGAGAAGCUAUGUCCACUCGUGGGCACUGUACCUCCCUUCAGGUGUCUAUAGCAGGCUCAGGCUUGGUGAUGCUCUCAGAACAAUGCCUUCACAGAGCUAAACUCCAACAAAUAUCUACUGGUGGAACCAGUGCCAGUAUAAGUGGACGGUGAUAAAUGGACAUCCCUUUGACAUUCAGAAAACUAUGCUUUUUGCUCCUAAAACCAGUCUGUAGGGUCCAGAUGUUGCUAAAGACAAAGCUAUAUUAGAGAUGAAAGCAAACUGGGACAUCCCCAAUUGUCCCUCUGGUGGUCUUGCUGCUUCUUAGCAUCAGCCUCAAAUGAGGAGGCUGACAUGUUCAUUGCCUACUAUGGAAUGUUUCCAAGGAGGUCUGUUUGUCAUAGGUCAGCAAAGCUCAGAACCACAGGAGCAGCCAUCUACUGCUCGUGCAGAUAGAUCAGAGCCAUCUCUGUGGAGCCGUCUCUCUGCAAUUGCCUCUAUGUGCUGGCUUUUCAGUUGCCCUUCCACCAAUGCCAGCCUCCCACAAGCAUGGAAGAGGCUUGCACUGAAGUGAGAUGACCUACUGGCUCUCAUCAAAGAUUUGAGAAAGGCUUGUUCAGAAUGCUGGUCAAAGUGGACAGAGAUCUCUCUACUCUGACCAGUUUUGUUUGUGCUUUUCCUUUGAUUGCUGGGUGGCAUCUACAAACAGUCUUGACUUGUAAGGGGAGAUGGUUGCAAGCUGAGAGUGAGCUCUGUGUGGCUUUGGGGAAGCAACUCAUUGACAGCAAUGGCCCUCCUCACUCCCCUGAGAAAGGAGAUGCAACGUGGUACGUGGGGUUAGGGAGAUGAUUAGCAUUCUUGGAUCUCUGUUUCAAACUUCAGAUCCAGGCUUGUGGCCACUGUAAAUGUGUCACUCAAAUGCUGUUCACACAGAGAGGGAGUAAGAGCAAAGGUGAAGAGGAGAGAGACAGAGGGCUGAUUUCUUUGGAAGCAAACUUUAGUUUUUAAUUUAACUCAGUAAUUCUCCAACUUUAAUGUGCAUCAGAAUCACCUGGAGGGGUUUUUAAAAUGGAAAUCGUUCGGCUCCCCAAAUCAGAUUUUCAGAUUUUGCAGUUCUGAGAGACAGAAACCCAAAUUUGCAUUUCUAACAAGUUUCCAGGUGAUGCUGAUGCUGCAGAUCCGGAGACCACACACUGAGAACCACUGAUUUAGCUCAUUGCCAGCCCUCUAUUACAGAAGUUUAGGCAGUUUUGACUGAGGAGGGUGCUCAUUCAUUCAUUGAUUCGUGCACUCACCACAUAUGUAUUGACACUCUACAAAGGGCUGGCAGAACCUGGGCCUUUAUAGUGUUACAGAAUUCUCCAGGGGAUUCUGAUAUGCCCCAGCAUUUGAGAAUCACUGGUAUAAAGUAAUGAAAACACAAAGCUGUGAAUAAAAGAAUCCUUGCAUUUAAGGAGGUUAGUCUAAUUGAGGAGAGGACUGGGAAAGUGAGAGAAAAAUCAAACAAAAAAGUGAAAAUUACUAAGCAAUAUAUAACUAAUGGAUUAAUGAACUGGAUGCUCCGGGGCACCAGGGAAGAGGUGGGUGCCCAACCAGACCCAGAAGCUUGGACAGAUGUUGUCUGACAGAGGUGGAGAUAGUUUGAAUGUCUGGACAGAGCAUGGCUAUGCAGAAAACGGCAAACUGUGCCCAGAGCUUAAGGUGUGAGAAAUGAAGUGUUGUGCGGAUCCCGGAGGAUUCUGAGGACUGGUUUGGUGCUUGGGCAAGAGGAAAUACCUAAGGGAGUCAUCAAUGUAGAGACGGUGCUUGAACUAAAGGAAUGUGACAGAGAUCAACCAAAGAGAGUAGAAUAAGAAGACCAAGCAAAAGCAGACCCCUGGGAACACUCCAACUUAAGGAGUUACAGGAGGACACAUCAGAGAAGGAGAUGGGCUGAGCAGAACAGCGAAGUUACCCUCGAGUGCCUGACUCCCUGCAGACCUGCCCUCAUGAGGCAGUCAGGUGGAAUACCCCAUACUGCAGUGCCUGAGGCCCGCUCUGCCCAAGACCACCACAGACAAACCGAGGAAGGAAGAGGAUAAUUACAGAGGUUCUGUGAGGAACUGAGCCGUUGGAUAAAUUCUCAGGAAAAUGACUGAUUAAGGGGGAAGGGCAGGUCUGUGUGAGAGUGGGGCUGACAGUCUUCUAAAGAAGGGGAGAGAGGACUCAAUCAGAUGCCAACCCCAGCCUGGGGAAAGAGGAAGAAGAUGCGAAUGAUAAUGAAAUUGUGGCUGCGGAAAUUUCUAGAGAAUAUGACUCAGAAAAAUGAGAGACUAAAUCAAGACAGAGGAAAAUAUCAGAUCCAGUACAUAACAGAAGAACUGACAACUGACACUGAGGAAAGGUAAGCGGUAUCCCACUAUGAUAACUCUGUAGUACCUGUACACUGGAGCGUCAAAAGAAGUAAGGCAGCAGACUUGGAAAAAAAUAGCACUUAAAAGUUUAUUGAUAGCCAGACACAGUGGUUCAUGUGUAUAAUCCCAGGACUUUGGGAGGCCAAGAUGGGUGGAGGCCAGGAGUUUGAGGCCAGGAGUUAGAGACCAGUCUGGGCAACAUGGUGAAACUCCAUCUCUACUACAAAUUCAAAAACUAGCCGGGUGCGGUGGUUCAUGCCUGUAAUCCCAGCACUUUGGGAAGCUGAGGUGGGCAGAUCACUUGAGGUCAG
Molecule: long non-coding RNA, 3514 nt
Filed under: Homo sapiens (human)
Lineage: Eukaryota; Metazoa; Chordata; Mammalia; Primates; Hominidae
Description: HSALNT0052969
Source: RNAcentral